Sphaeramia orbicularis (orbiculate cardinalfish) is the source of this 549-nucleotide long non-coding RNA. RefSeq lists it as uncharacterized. NCBI's taxonomy places the organism in Eukaryota, Metazoa, Chordata, Actinopteri, Kurtiformes, Apogonidae. The transcript has 2 exons. The record is from RefSeq and is a predicted model, not a curated record.
UCUCUGUCGCACAAUCGCAGCCCGCGGAUGACACUGAAAAGCCGCCAGAUAACUUCAAGUACAGCGUUUUUCUGCGAGCUCGCCUCAAGUCUGCGGUGAAGGUUAAUUUACAAGGUAGGCUGUUUGUUUCUGCACCUCAGGCAAAGCGCAGGAACAUCAGUUAUUUAUUUAUUUAUUUAUUUUUAUUUCGAUUAAGGGCAAAGCAAGUGCAUCAGUGACCGUACAGGCUGGAAUGUAGGGCGAAACGGAUUCUUCUUUAAAGUGCUUUCUUCUCUUUUUUUUUUUUUUUUUUUUUUUAACGCUAUCAGGGGGAGUUUAGUUUGGUAAUUAUUUCGUUUGCAUCAGUGGAGCUGCGUCAUAUAUUUGAAGCAGUAUUGCCCAUGUUGUAAAAUCUUCAUUUAUUUGUGUUUCCUAUCUCUGAAAACACAAAAAAAAGGUUAUAGAUGAUGCUAAACAGGGAAGAUGGGGCACAAAAUCUAUCAACUUUGUUCUGUGCAAAAAUAUACUCCAAAAUAUUGUGAUUAUUCAUUAUUUAUGUUAGUCUGGAGG